Molecule: ribosomal RNA, 492 nt
Filed under: uncultured bacterium
Lineage: Bacteria
Description: partial 16S ribosomal RNA
Rfam family: Bacterial small subunit ribosomal RNA
Source: RNAcentral
AGUGAACGCUAGCGGUAGGCCUAACACAUGCAAGUCGAACGGCAGCACAGUAAGAGCUUGCUCUUACGGGUGGCGAGUGGCGGACGGGUGAGGAAUACAUCGGAAUCUACUUUUUCGUGGGGGAUAACGUAGGGAAACUUACGCUAAUACCGCAUACGACCUACGGGUGAAAGCAGGGGAUCUUCGGACCUUGCGCGAUUGAAUGAGCCGAUGCCGGAUUAGCUAGUUGGCGGGGUAAAGGCCCACCAAGGCGACGAUCCGUAGCUGGUCUGAGAGGAUGAUCAGCCACACUGGAACUGAGACACGGUCCAGACUCCUACGGGAGGCAGCGGUGGGGAAUAUUGGACAAUGGGCGCAAGCCUGAUCCAGCCAUACCGCGUGGGUGAAGAAGGCCUUCGGGUUGUAAAGCCCUUUUGUUGGGAAAGAAAAGCAGCAGGUUAAUACCCCGCUGUUCUGACGGUACCCAAAGAAUAAGCACCGGCUAACUUCGUG